RNAcentral lists this transfer RNA (65 nucleotides) under Omobranchus elegans (elegant blenny). RNAcentral describes it as "tRNA-Cys". The record is from RNAcentral. Lineage: Eukaryota; Metazoa; Chordata; Actinopteri; Blenniiformes; Blenniidae.
AGCUCUGAGGUGUUUUCACGCGAGAUUGCAAAUCUUGAGAAGCAGACUAAACUCUGCCGGGGCUU